GUUAUUUUGGCAGAGAUAAAUGUGUUGGAUUUAGGAUCCUAUAAGAUAGAGUAGUCUAUA
Molecule: transfer RNA, 60 nt
Filed under: Austinixa aidae
Lineage: Eukaryota; Metazoa; Arthropoda; Malacostraca; Decapoda; Pinnotheridae
Description: tRNA-Leu
Source: RNAcentral